AACGAACGCUGGCGGCAGGCCUAACACAUGCAAGUCGAACGAGAUCUUCGGAUCUAGUGGCGGACGGGUGAGUAACGCGUGGGAACGUGCCCUUCUCUACGGAAUAGUCCUGGGAAACUGGGUUUAAUACCGUAUACGCCCUUCGGGGGAAAGAAUUUCGGGGAAGGAGUCCGGCCCGUCGUUGGUAGUUAGGUAGUUGGGUAGGGUAAGUCGGCCUAACCGAACGCCGACGACUCCAUAGCGUUGGUUUGAGAGGAUGAUCACGCCACACGUGGGACUGAGAC
This 284-nucleotide ribosomal RNA is filed under the name uncultured bacterium. RNAcentral's name for it is "partial 16S ribosomal RNA". It matches the Rfam family "Bacterial small subunit ribosomal RNA", at positions 29 to 325 of the family's 1533-position model. The record is from RNAcentral.